AGUGAACGCUGGCGGUAGGCCUAACACAUGCAAGUCGAACGGCAGCACAGUAAGAGCUUGCUCUUACGGGUGGCGAGUGGCGGACGGGUGAGGAAUACAUCGGAAUCUACUUUUUCGUGGGGGAUAACGUAGGGAAACUUACGCUAAUACCGCAUACGACCUACGGGUGAAAGCAGGGGAUCUUCGGACCUUGCGCGAUUGAAUGAGCCGAUGUCGGAUUAGCUAGUUGGCGGGGUAAAGGCCCACCAAGGCGACGAUCCGUAGCUGGUCUGAGAGGAUGAUCAGCCACACUGGAAUUGAGACACGGUCCAGACUCCUACGGGAGGCAGCAGUGGGGAAUAUUGGACAAUGGGCGCAAGCCUGAUCCAGCCAUACCGCGUGGGUGAAGAAGUCCUUAGGGUUGUAAAGCCCUUUUGUUGGGAAAGAAAAGCAGCAGGUUAAUACCCCGCUGUUCUGACGGUACCCAAAGAAUAAGCACCGGCUAACUUCGUG
RNAcentral lists this ribosomal RNA (492 nucleotides) under uncultured bacterium. RNAcentral describes it as "partial 16S ribosomal RNA". It matches the Rfam family "Bacterial small subunit ribosomal RNA", at positions 29 to 507 of the family's 1533-position model. The record is from RNAcentral.